AUUUUAGCGGCGGACGGGUGAGUAACACGUGGGUAACCUACCUUAUAGAUUGGGAUAACUCCGGGAAACCGGGGCUAAUACCGAAUAAUACUUUUUAACACAUGUUUGAAAGUUGAAAGACGGUUUCGGCUGUCACUAUAAGAUGGACCCGCGGCGCAUUAGCUAGUUGGUGAGGUAACGGCUCACCAAGGCAACGAUGCGUAGCCGACCUGAGAGGGUGAUCGGCCACACUGGGACUGAGACACGGCCCAGACUCCUACGGGAGGCAGCAGUAGGGAAUCUUCCACAAUGGACGAAAGUCUGAUGGAGCAACGCCGCGUGAGUGAAGAAGGAUUUCGGUUCGUAAAACUCUGUUGCAAGGGAAGAACAAGUAGCGUAGUAACUGGCGCUACCUUGACGGUACCUUGUUAGAAAGCCACGGCUAACUACGUGCCAGCAGCCGCGGUAAUACGUAGGUGGCAAGCGUUGUCCGGAAUUAUUGGGCGUAAAGCGCGCGCAGGUGGUUCCUUAAGUCUGAUGUGAAAGCCCCCGGCUCAACCGGGGAGGGUCAUUGGAAACUGGGGAACUUGAGUGCAGAAGAGGAUAGUGGAAUUCCAAGUGUAGCGGUGAAAUGCGUAGAGAUUUGGAGGAACACCAGUGGCGAAGGCGACUGUCUGGUCUGUAACUGACACUGAGGCGCGAAAGCGUGGGGAGCAAACAGGAUUAGAUAACCUGGUAGUCCACGCCGUAAACGAUGAGUGCUAAGUGUUGGGGGGUUUCCGC
This 762-nucleotide ribosomal RNA is filed under the name Solibacillus silvestris. RNAcentral describes it as "bacterial SSU rRNA". It matches the Rfam family "Bacterial small subunit ribosomal RNA", at positions 89 to 837 of the family's 1533-position model. The record is from RNAcentral. Lineage: Bacteria; Bacillati; Bacillota; Bacilli; Caryophanales; Caryophanaceae.